This 148-nucleotide non-coding RNA is filed under the name Nomascus leucogenys (northern white-cheeked gibbon). The record is from Rfam by way of RNAcentral. Lineage: Eukaryota; Metazoa; Chordata; Mammalia; Primates; Hylobatidae.
GCCAGGCAUGGUGGUGCAUGCCUGUAGUCCCAGCUACUUGGGAGGCUGAGGCAGGAAAAUUGCUUGAACCCAGGAAGUGGAGGUUGCAGUGAGCCAAGAUUGCGCCACUGCACCCCAGCCUGGGUGACAGAGUGAGACUCUGUCUCAA